AACGAACGCUGGCAGCAUGCCUAACACAUGCAAGUCGAACGAGACCUUCGGGUCUAGUGGCGAACGGGUGCGUAACGCGUGGGAACCUGCCCUUAGGUUCGGAAUAACUCCCCGAAAGGGGUGCUAAUACCGGAUAAUGUCUUCGGACCAAAGAUUUAUCGCCUUUGGAUGGGCCCGCGUUGGAUUAGCUAGUUGGUAGGGUAAAAGCCUACCAAGGCGACGAUCCAUAGCUGGUCUGAGAGGAUGAUCAGCCACACUGGGACUGAGACACGGCCCAGACUCCUACGGGAGGCAGCAGUGGGGAAUAUUGGACAAUGGGCGAAAGCCUGAUCCAGCAAUGCCGCGUGAGUGAUGAAGGCCUUAGGGUUGUAAAGCUCUUUUACCCGGGAUGAUAAUGACAGUACCGGGAGAAUAAGCUCCGGCUAACUCCGUG
This 433-nucleotide ribosomal RNA is filed under the name uncultured bacterium. Its description in RNAcentral is "partial 16S ribosomal RNA". It matches the Rfam family "Bacterial small subunit ribosomal RNA", at positions 29 to 507 of the family's 1533-position model. The record is from RNAcentral.